CCGUGCUGCGCGCGAGGGUGAGAGUGGAGCCUCCUUCCUCCUCCCCCCUCCCCAGUGCUCCACAGCUCCGUGUGAGACCUCCCGGUUUCCCCGCCUCCUCGGUGGUUGGAGCGCGUGCAGCAGCGGCAGCAGCAUCCGCGUGGAGCUGACGAGAGACCGGCUGGUCAGCGGAGCCACGCCGAAGCUUCUCUAAACAUUUACAUAAUUAUUACUUACUUAUGUUUUGUUCAUUUGGGGUUUAAAUUAAUCGAUCCUGCUUUGGCCCAAGAGUUUUCCUGAAGGAAGAAAUCGAUGUUUCAUUUGAAAACAAAAUUUAACCGAGGAAUGAAACGUGUUGAGGGUGAUUUUUAUGUCUUCCCAAAGAGAGAAAAGUAAGUCCACGCAACAAAGAAUCUGUAUCUGCUGCUGUUGUCACUGAAACCUCACAUUUAAUUAGUUUUAGUUGUGGGUUGCUUAUCAGAUUCCUCUUGUUUUUAUCAUCUUAACUGCACUUUCAUCAGACAUAACAUCUUUUAAAAUCCUUUAACAAUAGGAGUGCUGAACAAAUCUAUGUGCUUAUGCCAAAAACAAAAGCUCUGUGUGUAAAACCACAGAGGACCUGAUGAUGGGAGUGGCCUGGUUUCAUCUUGCAGAUGAUAAUAGAAGAAAACUUUCAGCACAUUUGUUAGGAUGGUGAACUUAUAGUUUCCAGCAGUCGAAAUGAUGAAUAAAGCUAUUUAAAGCAAAUAAAAUAACUAAAACUUAUGUCUGUGAAACAUAAAAUAACUGAUAUGUUCUCAUCAUUUAC
This 787-nucleotide long non-coding RNA is filed under the name Nothobranchius furzeri (turquoise killifish). Its description in RNAcentral is "lncRNA (ENSNFUG00015020949.1)". The record is from RNAcentral. Lineage: Eukaryota; Metazoa; Chordata; Actinopteri; Cyprinodontiformes; Nothobranchiidae.